GGUUUGCCUUAAGACAGUAUUUACAACGAUUUUAAAUAUAAGGAACCAAUGAAUGAAUACCGGUCAAAGGGCGACUGUCUAUCAGCUGUGUUGAUGUUGAACCUUAACCGUGUCAAAUUUGCGCGGAGCACGACACGUAGAGUAGAGCAUAGGUACCACUGUGAAAGUAUUACUGAUUUAGAGAGAGAGAGUUACAAAAUUAGGUGUGUUCUCAAAUGCGUCCACAUCGCGCGAUGGCUUGGUACCGACUCAAUAAAGAGCGUCGCUGCUGUACAGGCGCCGCGCGACGUCAGUAAACAGACGCUGACAUAAACAAAGUCGCAGACGUGUAACGAAAAUUCAAAACUGAUAUGAAUUACAAUGUCGUGUAAGCAAAAUAAAUAUUAAAUAAAAGCUGACUUCACUAACUUCAUGGUUAUUUUAUACUAAUUUUUAGUGUUAGAAUAAAAAAAAUAGCAUUAUGUACGUAUACAAAAUAUUGAUAAAAUACUGAUUGUAAAAUUUCGAUAUAGUUAUAACUCCCAAUUAAUGUUUAAUAAAUAAUUAAAGCUCUCAAGCUUUAACUAUUUAAAUAUUAAUGUCGAAUAUUACACGAAUAAAUAGAUUCUAAUACAAAAUAAUAUUAGUUUACUUAUGUAUGAAUUAUUUUAUUAUAUAUAAAUUAAUAUGAAAUAAAAAUUUUCAAAUUUGAUUAUAUCGUUUUGAAUAUUAUUUUUCAAAAGAAAUAUAUUAAGAAUUCAUAAAUCUAAUCAAUGUAUUAUAAUACUGUUAUCUAUAUUUAGACAGUAAUUUGGAUAACAUUAGAAAAAAAAA
Long non-coding RNA from Solenopsis invicta (red fire ant), 813 nucleotides. RefSeq lists it as uncharacterized. The transcript has 2 exons. Lineage: Eukaryota; Metazoa; Arthropoda; Insecta; Hymenoptera; Formicidae. The record is from RefSeq and is a predicted model, not a curated record.